GCUCACGCGGAUCUAUCGGAUCGUUUUAGAAACAUUCAGGGGCCAACAGAUCGCCAGAUCGUUGAGCUCCAUAGGCGGGAUUUCGCCGUCUUCGUUUCUCUUUCUUCGCGGACGAACACGCGCCAGGGGCCGCGCUGUGCGAUGCGUCUGGUGCAAGCCGGAUGCGAGCGGGCAGGCUUCGAUCCCUAUGUAGGGAGAGCGUUGGGGCUUGUAGCUCAGUUGGUUAGAGCGCGCGCUUGAUAAGCGUGAGGUCGGAAGUUCAAGUCUUCCCAGGCCCACCAUUUGAUCGAGUGCAUGUGUCUCUCAAGCUUGACCUGUAGCAUUCGUCUUCUGGUUACGGGGCCAUAGCUCAGCUGGGAGAGCGCGUGCUUUGCAAGCAUGAGGUCGUCGGUUCGAUCCCGUCUGGCUCCACCAGAUGAAGUCGAAGAUCGACGCUGCAUGCUGCAGUCAUCGAGACCAAUUCGUCCGCGAAACAUCAAUUCGCGCGCAUCAUCCGAAAUCGGAUGUGCGUUGCGUGAUUUCUGACAUCGUAAAGAGGAGAUCGAUCCGAGUUGGAUCGUGCAAGCAAUUGCGCGACCCAUCACUAUCUCCGGAUCAUUUCGGCGCUCGCACAUCCACAAGAUGUGCGGGUUGUAAAUGGUCUCGUUAGCGAAGCCUGACCGCCUCGCUAUCGGUUCGAUCUUACGAAGCAAGCUGGUCUUUCUAGUCAAUGUCCGGCUGCGUGAUCUCUCCUUGUGGGAGUGCGCGGCAUACAUUCUGCCGAGUGUGUGGACAUUGAUAAUGAGAGCAAUCAAGUGCCUUAAGGGUGUUCGGUGGAUGCCUUGGCGCUGAGAGGCGAUGAAGGACGUGCUACGCUGCGAUAAGCCGUGGG
Molecule: unclassified non-coding RNA, 871 nt
Filed under: Bradyrhizobium sp.
Lineage: Bacteria; Pseudomonadati; Pseudomonadota; Alphaproteobacteria; Hyphomicrobiales; Nitrobacteraceae
Description: partial 16S-23S ribosomal RNA intergenic spacer
Rfam family: tRNA (bases 205-278)
Source: RNAcentral